AGGGCACCACCAGGAGUGGAGCCUGCGGCUUAAUUUGACUCAACACGGGAAAACUUACCUGGCCCGGACACUGGAAGGAUUGACAGAUUGAGAGCUCUUUCUUGAUUCAGUGGGUGGUGGUGCAUGGCCGUUCUUAGUUGGUGGAGCGAUUUGUCUGGUUAAUUCCGAUAACGAACGAGACUCUGGCCUACUAAAUAGACUGCUCAACUUCCCCUCUGGGUAACCCGGCAGGUUCUUCGAGGCUUGUACGGCUGUGACGACCUUACGAGAGCUACUUAUAGGGGGUGGGUGAUGCCCUUAGAUGCUCUGCGCAGCACGCGCGGUACUGUGAAGGGCUCAGAGUGUCUGUGCCCCUCGCAGAGCUACACUGAAAUGAUCAGCGUGCCUUCAUGAUUCCUACUGCGUCUUGAGUGUCUACCCCAUGAAAGAUUCUUCGUGAUUGGGAUAAGUCAUUGUAAUUGUGCUGAUUGAACCCUGAAUUUUGUACACACGGCCCGUCGCUACUAGCGAUGAUUACGA
This 519-nucleotide ribosomal RNA is filed under the name uncultured eukaryote. RNAcentral's name for it is "bacterial SSU rRNA". It matches the Rfam family "Eukaryotic small subunit ribosomal RNA", at positions 1161 to 1698 of the family's 1831-position model. The record is from RNAcentral.